CUCGAAUGUAAUUUUAAAUUCAUUACCCCAGACAAAUUGGCUUAAUUAACAAGUGACCGCCGCCAUAGUGAGACUUCAUUCUUUGGAUUUUUGUUUGUGUUUCACCACUUAAAAAAGCAAAUAAAAAUGUUCACCUGCGAAUAUUGCAACCGCUCGUUCAGCCGUAAAGACCACCUGGCGAGGCACGGGGACUGUCGCGCAGCAGUACAAAUUUGUGACGUUUGCGGCGGGAUAUACAAAUCCGAGGGGGCUCUCCGACGCCAUAAACGCGAGAAGCAUGAGGUUCCCAAGGCGAAAAGACCCGCCGCCGCCCCUAUUGCUGCAGACGAACCCAAGCGCCCGAGACUUGACCUACCGGAAGCUUCGACAUCAUCAUCAUCACCAUCAUCCACGCGCCAUUGUACGCAGUGUAACUUGACCAUCCUGCAAUGAGAUGGCA
This is a long non-coding RNA of Cylas formicarius (sweet potato weevil), 439 nucleotides long. RefSeq lists it as uncharacterized. The record is from RefSeq and is a predicted model, not a curated record. The transcript is spliced from 3 exons. NCBI's taxonomy places the organism in Eukaryota, Metazoa, Arthropoda, Insecta, Coleoptera, Brentidae.